AUUGAACGCUGGCGGAAUGCUUUACACAUGCAAGUCGAGCGGCAGCGCGGGGCAACCUGGCGGCGAGCGGCGAACGGGUGAGUAAUGCAUCGGAACAUGUCCAUGUCGUGGGGGAUAGCCCGGCGAAAGCCGGAUUAAUACCGCAUACGCCCGAGAGGGGAAAGGACCGGGGACCGGCAAGGCCUGGCGCGAUUGGGUUGGCCGAUGUCCGAUUAGCUAGUUGGUGGGGUAAAGGCCCACCAAGGCGAUGAUCGGUAGCUGGUCUGAGAGGAUGAUCAGCCACACUGGGACUGAGACACGGCCCAGACUCCUACGGGAGGC
RNAcentral lists this ribosomal RNA (321 nucleotides) under uncultured bacterium. RNAcentral's name for it is "bacterial SSU rRNA". It matches the Rfam family "Bacterial small subunit ribosomal RNA", at positions 28 to 349 of the family's 1533-position model. The record is from RNAcentral.